CUUGACGGCCGCAUAAAGCGCGUCCCAUUGAUCCAAAGGCAGGAUGCGUGCGUCGAUGAGCGCGCACACCACGUCCAUGUGGUUUGCACGCACCGCCGCCACGUGCGCGCCCACGCCCACAUUGACACUGGCGUCGGACCUGGCGACCAGCCAUCGCACGGCGUCAAUGUGGCCGUGUGCGGUCGCCGCACAGCCGAUCGAUGGCGACGGCCAACCCGGUAUGCGCGGCACGGCGUGUUGGGUCGCGGCGCCGUCGCCCAUGGCCCAUUGGAGCACCUCGAUGCGCCCGGCGCUCGCCGCCUCCAAGAGCGCCGACGGCGGGCACCUUUGGGCACCGAGUCCGUGAAAUGCACGCAAGACACGGACGUGCCCUCGUGAUGCCGCCGUCACGAGCGCCGCAGCCAGCAAUGGGUCGGCAGAGGGCCACGUUGGCACGCCCAACGCACGCCCCAGCCAUUCAGAGGCGCUCGCAGCGCCCUGUUGCAUGGCCAAGAUCAACGGAUGCCGCCCUCUGGCCUCGCGCACAGGCGACGCCCAAGGCACCAGGCCCGGGUUGAAGCGGCCGGAACAAGCGGCUGCGUCGAGCCACGCGAGCAUGUCCCCUCGGUCGGCGUUGGCCGCCGCCUCCCACGUGCGCAUCGGGCAGGCGCACACCCUGCCUCGGUACAUGUCAUUUACCGGAGGGAAACGCGACUGUCCAUAAUGGUGCAGGUAGGCCACGAUGUCGGUCGACGGCGCCGACCCGCCGGCAGCGUCGGCUACCAGCGCCGUAAACAAGUCCCUCUCCAGAUAGUCGGGUCGCGUCCUGCCGGGCGGAAAAUGGCGGUCCAGCAGCCAUUUGAGGACGUCGACGUUGCCGCGGUAGGCGGCCUCGUGCAUGGCGUUGACGGCGAUGCCCACGUACCGCUUUCUCACAUCGCCGGGAAACAGUUUUAUGCUCUGCCAGCGUUUUCGGUUCCAGUAGCCAUCGACGAGCACGUGCUUGUUGGGCAUCCUGUCCGCGGAGCACGUGUAAAGGACAUAGUCGGCGUCCAGAUGGUCGUAGGCCCAUGCGACGACGUCGAGGCGACCCAGAUGAGCGCCCGAACCCACCAGACGCUCGGCGUCGGCCUCUGUCGGGUGGACCAGGGCGCGUUGAAUGACGUCCAGUGGCGCGCGGGCUCGCAACAGCUUGUACGCGCUCACCUCACAGAGGGACCGACGCAAGAGGGCCAAGGAAAAGAGGCGCGAGGCCAAGACGCACGCGGCGUGGUCCCGCGGGUGCACCAGAUACCCCUGAAUAUGCCACAAGAGUUCGACGGGUAUCGCCGGCAACACAGGAGAAGGGACAACCUCUGAGUCGAACUCGCGGCCGAUGUCUGCUGUUGCGGCUGUCGCCGUCGUCUCUGUCAUUGCUGAGGUGAAGGAAACAAAAAAAAGAGAGUGGACGACAGGCGAUCGAGGCCGACGCGAUGCCAUCGAGCAACAAAGAAAUCACACAAAUGGCCAAUAGGGAGAACGGGUCGAUUUGUC
This 1512-nucleotide long non-coding RNA is filed under the name Pandoravirus neocaledonia. RNAcentral describes it as "hypothetical ncRNA". The record is from RNAcentral.